AAAUAAAAUAGAUAUGAUAUGGUAUACUCAAGAUGUGAGAAGUUGAAAUAUGAGAAUAGCAUUUUCUUAGGAGAACCAGAUGAGCCCUAUAAAGUGUAGGCUUCCUAAGAAGACAGAGAAAGAGACCAUUGCCAACACGUGCAAGGAAAUAUUUGUGUUUAGAGUAAUUAGGUCAUACACAGACUUGAGGACCAUUACUUGAUUUGGGUGGCAAGUAAAGAAGGGUUACAGAAAAUAUGGUUCCAACAGUAGACAGAGUUGGUGGUGUGUUUCUGGGGAUACUAGGUGCUUAGCCCAGAGUUUGCAUUUUGUUCAAAAAUAAACUUAGUGUAUUUUGGGAUGGUGUGAAUGGAGACUUCUCUGAAGACCGUAUGCUUAUUAACUGGGGUGCAGAACGACACAUACUGAAUUCAAUUAAUAUGAUGGAUAAUAAGACAAUAAAGGUAACAGAUGGUUGGAGGGGCCAGAGUAUGUCUUGCCACCUUAUUUAUUUUCUACAAUAUGUUAAUUCCAUGGUUGUGGUUAAUGAGGAAACAUACUGAGGGUCACAUGACAAAGUCCAUGCUCAGAGAUUUACACUAAAUCUUUACGUUGAACCAAAAAAAAAAUGUGAUUCUUUGAAUGAAACUACUGCAAACAGUGUAUACUAUUAGCUUUUGUGCAGUCAAGAAAAGUGAACUGGUUUAUAACUUUUAUAAGACUCUGUAAGUGGUGAGUUCAUUUCUUAUACCGAGCUGACUACUACAGUGUUUUCCACCAAUGUGCAAAUAUAACUCUGUUAAUUAGUGUACUUACUUCAUCAAGAGAAGUUGAAACAUAUCCAUAUUGCCCCAUAAUUUUGUGUUUAUUCAUCUGUAAAAUGUGUAUCAUAAAAGCUUCUUUUCACAUGAAACUGUCAAGGCCAAAUGAUCAUGCACUGGAAGAUAUUUUUUAUAUUCUAUGAUGCAUUGUAAAAAUAAAUCAUUUUCUCAAGUUGUGUGUAAACUUCAUUUUCUAAUUGACAUGGUGCCUACGCAUCUAUAAAAGACAGCAGGAAAAGACAUCUGCUUCUCAUGCCUCGAUAAAACAUGUGACUUCCAGAAGCCAUUGAAUCUGACAUCCUGUGGAUGCCGUUCCCUCCAGGAAAAAUUCCUUUGCACCUUCAUAUCAAAUGCUGUUCAUCACUAGUGUGAGCAGCAGUGGAACUGGGGCUCUUAAGUCACCCCAAUGAUGUAAUCAUCAAUUUGUUCACAAACCUAAAUAAAGAAAUGGGAGUUCUAUUUUCAACCAUGGACAAUUGUCCCUAACUCUCUGGACAGUUAGGGAGGUAAGUAUAGUCUCAUGACCAUAUUUAUGAUAUCAUAAUGUUGUACACUGCCAUUGAUAUAUUUCCAAAGUUCAGAUUUUAGUUGCAGUUUGCACUGCACAGGUUUUUUUUUUCCUAAAACACCCUCGAAAGGGUCUCACUUUCACCUUGUGAUGCAGAAAAGGAUAAAUCUUUUGAAGGAAGUCUCCCCAAAAGCAACCAACAGCAUGAGUGAAAAUGCAAAAAAGCAUGAGAUCACAGGCAGCAGGGAAAAGACUUUACUUUCCUCCAUUUUCCCAUUUUGUACUCUACCUUGGUAAAAGGCAUCUCUUCUAAGUGAAACUUCUGUAUCUACCUGAAUGAUUAUUACUGACUAAAACAAGUGCAUUGACUCUGUAAUCACAAUAACUUAUGUCUUUCACAUACAACAGAUCUGAAGCCUUUUUUGUAAUCUCUUGUCUAUGAGAUUUACUUUUCAAAGGAUACGGCUACAUGCCACAUUCAAAACUCACUUUCAAAGCACCCUACUUUGAAAAACCCAGAUUCUGCCAGGUGUUUUCUCUCUUGGCUGACCAGGUUUUCUAUCAGCUGAUCCAUGGUGACCUCACUUUUUAGGAGCUUCAGUCAGAGGUCAGGAAACGAAUAUUAAAGAUACCCUGAGAACAUCAAAGUCUAUUUGCUUGCUUGCUCAACUCUGCUUUUGCUCAUUAUUCCUGACUAUUCUGCAGAUGAGUCCCAGGUUGAGUGAUCACCUUGGAGCAGUCUGUAAGGCCCGUUUCCUGGUGUGUAGGUUCUGAAAGAGCUAUUCUUACCCUCCUUGUUCCCUCAAGGCUAGAACAUUCAGGAAGAAACUGACAAUAGUCUUUAUGUGACAAUCAAAUCUCCUGUUUGUUUUUUGCCUUUCAACCUGUGUGAUUGGUUCCAUGAAUCUUUUGGCAUAUUUAAUGUCUUUUAUACUUUAAAGACUAUGGAACUAACAGUGAAUUUUAAUUGAUUUCCUUUUCCCUUCCUGAGGGUGUUGUGAAACUCUUUCUAGAGAUAAUUUUGUUUAAUUUAUGACAAUUUGCCGUGUUAACCUUCCUAUAAGAAUGGCGUAUUUGACAAGUUUAUUUAUGGAACAUUAACUCUGUACCAUAAAAUAUUAAUUUUUAUUGCUGCUUUGCAUAUUCCAUAACCAAUAAAAUAUUCUUCCUGUGGGUAAAUUG
RNAcentral lists this long non-coding RNA (2490 nucleotides) under Mus musculus (house mouse). RNAcentral's name for it is "long non-coding RNA chr18:86505749-86508239". Lineage: Eukaryota; Metazoa; Chordata; Mammalia; Rodentia; Muridae. The record is from RNAcentral.